This 72-nucleotide transfer RNA is filed under the name Ictidomys tridecemlineatus (thirteen-lined ground squirrel). RNAcentral describes it as "Spermophilus tridecemlineatus (thirteen-lined ground squirrel) tRNA". It matches the Rfam family "tRNA". Rfam says of the family: Transfer RNA (tRNA) molecules are approximately 80 nucleotides in length. The record is from Rfam by way of RNAcentral. Lineage: Eukaryota; Metazoa; Chordata; Mammalia; Rodentia; Sciuridae.
GGGGUUGUGGCUUAGCGGUAGAGCACUCACCUGGCACGUGUGAAGCACUGGGUUCGAUCUUCAGCAGCACAU